GAUGAAGAACGUAGCGAAAUGCGAUAAGUAAUGUGAAUUGCAGAAUUCAGUGUAUCAUCGAAUCUUUGAACGCACCUUGCGCCUUUUGGUAUUCCGAAAGGCACACCUGUUUGAGCGUCAUGAAUACCUCAAUCUCCAUCUUUUCUUCGGAUUGAUGGGUGACUUGGAUGUUGAGCCCUGCUGGUAUGCUAUAUCAGCUGGCUUUAAACUUAUUAGCCGGCUCUGUACUGGAUCGGUUUGACUCGACGUGAUAAUAUUAUCGUUGAGGAUGCAUGUCUCAUGCAGCCGGAAAGUAUCAAAGCAGCUUCUAGCUUGCCUUUAGUGCACUUUUACAUUUUAGACCUCAGAUCAGGUGGGACUACCCGCUGAACUUAAGCAUAUCAAUAAGCGGAGGA
Molecule: unclassified non-coding RNA, 395 nt
Filed under: soil metagenome
Description: partial contains 5.8S ribosomal RNA, internal transcribed spacer 2, and large subunit ribosomal RNA
Rfam family: 5.8S ribosomal RNA (bases 1-120)
Source: RNAcentral